UACACGGGGGGCUCUGGUGUAGGAGACAGUAAGCUCUGUGCUCAUCCGCUUUCCGAGUCUCAUCCCGCAACAUGGAGUUCCUGCUCACGCUGUGGCCACCAUCAUCGGCAAUUAACACAAAGGUUAGAGGACCCCAGAGACAACUGGGGUGAUGCCACAGUUCAAAACCUUGGCUUUGCUAGUCAGACAGAAGCCCAGUUUCUUUAACCUACCGUAAUUCUAUGUGCAUCAUAACUAUAUACUCCACACCCAGUGAAACCUGUGGAGAAAAACAGAAGACACUUCUUCAAAUUUUAAGGUGAUUCUGGAGGUGUUUAUCUUAGCUAAAGGCAGUGAAAUCAAACCGUAUAUUGAGAGUGAAAAUAUUCUAUUUUUCCAAAUCAAUUCAACAAAGUGCUUAUCUCACAGGAGAAAAAUACAGUGAUGAGUAGCUAGGAACUACCAAAGUUCCCAUCACAAGUGCCCAGUGCUCCAUGUUGGGGGUGCAGAACAUUAGGCUGAACCAAGGGGGUUGACACUGGGGGGGGCAAGAGUUUGAGAAGAAAUGAAGGUGUAUUGGAGUUUUAUACUGGGCAGAGAUAAGUGCUACAGAGAAAGUUAGAAGAGAUUUGGCCAUUUGAGUAGAAAUAUCUACUUUCUAAUAUGCCUUAAAAAGUUGACAAACAGGAAACCUUCAAGGGAACUCUUCUUUGAGGGCUGCCAUAGAGAAAUUCAUUUUGAAUAUAAAAUGAAAGAACAAAUAUGACAACAACAGUAACAGCCUUAAAGAGAUUCCCUAGUCUAUGGGGAUGAAAUACCGUCAGCCCCCCAUAUCCAUGCAUUCUGCAUUCUGGAUUCAACCAUUCCUGGAUAAAGGUAUUCAAAAAUGAAUUUUAGAAAUGACAAUACAAUAGCAAAAAUGAGAAAUACUAUAGUAUAACAACUAUUUUCAUGGCAUUUACAUUGUGUGAGGUAUUAUAAGUAAUGUAGAGAUGAUUCAAAGUAUAUGGGAGAAUGUGUGUAAGUCCUAUGCAAACACUAUUAAGAUUUUUUUAUCAGGG
Molecule: long non-coding RNA, 1040 nt
Filed under: Callithrix jacchus (white-tufted-ear marmoset)
Lineage: Eukaryota; Metazoa; Chordata; Mammalia; Primates; Cebidae
Description: lncRNA (ENSCJAG00000082932.1)
Source: RNAcentral